GCCCCGGCCGUGAGGGGAGCGCUGCGGUGAGCCCCGGGACCGGCCGGGCCCCGGCUGUGCAGGGUGUCCCGGUGCGCUGCGGUGCCAGGGGCUGUGAGAUACCAUGGCAGUAGCACACACAACAGCCAGCCCGCUGCUCCGGAGGGAAUGACAGCUUCCGAGCCAUCCAGCAGGGACUGAGGGUCCCUCCUACACACAGAGGCAGUCCUGCUCCACCGGGAAGCCAAAGAGCUGAACCUCAAGUCAAAAUUAAAGAGCUCAGGUGCUGAAUCAGGACCUUAUUAAAAGUGAGCAGGCAUCUUCAGCUGCUAUUUCUGCUGCCCUGUCAUUGUGGUUUUAUCUACUGCCAGUCUUUGACUAUCUCAAGUAACCAAGCAUCAGCACUGGUGACAGAUGAUCAGGAAUUAGAGGGCUUCUUUCCAGCGGCUUUACAGGAUACAGAAGAACUGUAGGAGGGUUUUCAGCUUCAGAGCCACAGCUGGACUGCAGCCAAGUAAUGGCAAGUGAGAUUGUUCCUACCCUGAGAAGAAAAAGUGUGCAGAGCCUGUGCAGUCACUCAUUAGUGUGUGUCUCUUGCUGACACAAACCAGGGCAUGCAGGCACUUUUCAAGUACACCAAGAGAAACCCUUCUCUUGCAGUCACCAAAAAUGCCAUGCCUUUUUGCAACUGGUGAUGCAAGCAAAGCUCACCUGUGAAAGGACCACUAGAAUUAAGACCUAAAAACUGAAGCAAUACAAUUUUUGUUCUCCUCUUUUA
Long non-coding RNA from Vidua macroura (Pin-tailed whydah), 757 nucleotides. RefSeq lists it as uncharacterized. NCBI's taxonomy places the organism in Eukaryota, Metazoa, Chordata, Aves, Passeriformes, Viduidae. The record is from RefSeq and is a predicted model, not a curated record. The transcript is spliced from 4 exons.